UUAAGCGACUAAGCGUACACGGUGGAUGCCCUGGCAGUCAGAGGCGAUGAAGGACGUGCUAAUCUGCGAAAAGCGUCGGUAAGGUGAUAUGAACCGUUAUAGCCGGCGAUGUCCGAAUGGGGAAACCCAGUGCAAUUCGUUGCACUAUCGUUAACUGAAUACAUAGGUUAACGAGGCGAACCGGGGGAACUGAAACAUCUAAGUACCCCGAGGAAAAGAAAUCAACCGAGAUUCCCCCAGUAGCGGCGAGCGAACGGGGAGCAGCCCAGAGUCUGAAUCAGCUUGUGUGUUAGUGGAACGGUCUGGAAAGUCCGACGGUACAGGGUGAUAGUCCCGUACACCAAAAUGCACAGGCUGUGAACUCGAAGAGUAGGGCGGGACACGUGGUAUCCUGUCUGAAUAUGGGGGGACCAUCCUCCAAGGCUAAAUACUCCUGACUGACCGAUAGUGAACCAGUACCGUGAGGGAAAGGCGAAAAGAACCCCGGCGAGGGGAGUGAAAAAGAACCUGAAACCGUGUACGUACAAGCAGUGGGAGCACCUUCGGGUGUGACUGCGUACCUUUUGUAUAAUGGGUCAGCGACUUAUAUUCUGUAGCAAGGUUAACCGUAUAGGGGAGCCGCAGGGAAACCGAGUCUUAACUGGGCGUUAAGUUGCAGGGUAUAGACCCGAAACCCGGUGAUCUAGCCAUGGGCAGGUUGAAGGUUGGGUAACACUAACUGGAGGACCGAACCGACUAAUGUUGAAAAAUUAGCGGAUGACUUGUGGCUGGGGGUGAAAGGCCAAUCAAACCGGGAGAUAGCUGGUUCUCCCCGAAAGCUAUUUAGGUAGCGCCUCGUGAACUCAUCUUCGGGGGUAGAGCACUGUUUCGGCUAGGGGGUCAUCCCGACUUACCAACCCGAUGCAAACUACGAAUACCGAAGAAUGUUAUCACGGGAGACACACGGCGGGUGCUAACGUCCGUCGUGAAGAGGGAAACAACCCAGACCGCCAGCUAAGGUCCCAAAGUCAUGGUUAAGUGGGAAACGAUGUGGGAAGGCACAGACAGCCAGGAUGUUGGCUUAGAAGCAGCCAUCAUUUAAAGAAAGCGUAAUAGCUCACUGGUCGAGUCGGCCUGCGCGGAAGAUGUAACGGGGCUAAACCAUGCACCGAAGCUGCGGCAGCGACACGAUGUGUUGUUGGGUAGGGGAGCGUUCUGUAAGCCUGCGAAGGUGACCUGUGAGGGUUGCUGGAGGUAUCAGAAGUGCGAAUGCUGACAUAAGUAACGAUAAAGCGGGUGAAAAGCCCGCUCGCCGGAAGACCAAGGGUUCCUGUCCAACGUUAAUCGGGGCAGGGUGAGUCGACCCCUAAGGCGAGGCCGAAAGGCGUAGUCGAUGGGAAACAGGUUAAUAUUCCUGUACUUGGUGUUACUGCGAAGGGGGGACGGAGAAGGCUAUGUUAGCCGGGCGACGGUUGUCCCGGUUUAAGCAUGUAGGCUGGUUAUCCAGGCAAAUCCGGAUAAUCAAGGCUGAGGUGUGAUGACGAGGCACUACGGUGCUGAAGUAACAAAUGCCCUGCUUCCAGGAAAAGCCUCUAAGCAUCAGGUAACAUCAAAUCGUACCCCAAACCGACACAGGUGGUCAGGUAGAGAAUACCAAGGCGCUUGAGAGAACUCGGGUGAAGGAACUAGGCAAAAUGGUGCCGUAACUUCGGGAGAAGGCACGCUGGUGUGUAGGUGAAGUCCCUGCGGAUGGAGCUGAGACCAGUCGAAGAUACCAGCUGGCUGCAACUGUUUAUUAAAAACACAGCACUGUGCAAACACGAAAGUGGACGUAUACGGUGUGACGCCUGCCCGGUGCCGGAAGGUUAAUUGAUGGGGUUAUCCGUAAGGAGAAGCUCUUGAUCGAAGCCCCGGUAAACGGCGGCCGUAACUAUAACGGUCCUAAGGUAGCGAAAUUCCUUGUCGGGUAAGUUCCGACCUGCACGAAUGGCGUAAUGAUGGCCAGGCUGUCUCCACCCGAGACUCAGUGAAAUUGAACUCGCUGUGAAGAUGCAGUGUACCCGCGGCAAGACGGAAAGACCCCGUGAACCUUUACUAUAGCUUGACACUGAACAUUGAGCCUUGAUGUGUAGGAUAGGUGGGAGGCUUUGAAGCGUGGACGCCAGUCUGCGUGGAGCCAACCUUGAAAUACCACCCUUUAAUGUUUGAUGUUCUAACGUUGGCCCCUUAUCGGGGUUGCGGACAGUGUCUGGUGGGUAGUUUGACUGGGGCGGUCUCCUCCCAAAGCGUAACGGAGGAGCACGAAGGUUAGCUAAUCCUGGUCGGACAUCAGGAGGUUAGUGCAAUGGCAUAAGCUAGCUUGACUGCGAGCGUGACGGCGCGAGCAGGUGCGAAAGCAGGUCAUAGUGAUCCGGUGGUUCUGAAUGGAAGGGCCAUCGCUCAACGGAUAAAAGGUACUCCGGGGAUAACAGGCUGAUACCGCCCAAGAGUUCAUAUCGACGGCGGUGUUUGGCACCUCGAUGUCGGCUCAUCACAUCCUGGGGCUGAAGUAGGUCCCAAGGGUAUGGCUGUUCGCCAUUUAAAGUGGUACGCGAGCUGGGUUUAGAACGUCGUGAGACAGUUCGGUCCCUAUCUGCCGUGGGCGCUGGAGAAUUGAGGGGGGCUGCUCCUAGUACGAGAGGACCGGAGUGGACGCAUCACUGGUGUUCGGGUUGUCAUGCCAAUGGCACUGCCCGGUAGCUAAAUGCGGAAGAGAUAAGUGCUGAAAGCAUCUAAGCACGAAACUUGCCCCGAGAUGAGUUCUCCCUGAGACUAUAAGUCUCCUGAAGGAACGUUGAAGACGACGACGUUGAUAGGCCGGGUGUGUAAGCGCAGCGAUGCGUUGAGCUAACCGGUACUAAUGAACCGUGAGGCUUAACCUU
Molecule: ribosomal RNA, 2900 nt
Filed under: Klebsiella pneumoniae
Lineage: Bacteria; Pseudomonadati; Pseudomonadota; Gammaproteobacteria; Enterobacterales; Enterobacteriaceae
Also listed under: 1 other name
Description: bacterial LSU rRNA
Rfam family: Bacterial large subunit ribosomal RNA
Source: RNAcentral